This 253-nucleotide ribosomal RNA is filed under the name uncultured bacterium. RNAcentral's name for it is "partial 16S ribosomal RNA". It matches the Rfam family "Bacterial small subunit ribosomal RNA", at positions 524 to 776 of the family's 1533-position model. The record is from RNAcentral.
UACGUAGGUGGCGAGCGUUGUCCGGAUUUACCGGGCGUAAAGAGCGCGCGGGCGGUCGUACAAGUCGCGUGUGAAAGCCCCUGGCUCAACUGGGGAGGGUCACGCGAUACUGUUCGACUUGAAGGCAGGAGAGGGAAGUGGAAUUCCCGGUGUAGUGGUGAAAUGCGUAGAUAUCGGGAGGAACACCAGUGGCGAAGGCGACUUCCUGGCCUGUUCUUGACGCUGAGGCGCGAAAGCUAGGGUAGCAAACGGG